MicroRNA precursor from Tupaia belangeri (northern tree shrew), 102 nucleotides. Lineage: Eukaryota; Metazoa; Chordata; Mammalia; Scandentia; Tupaiidae. The record is from Ensembl.
GCGAGAUGUUGCCUGUUGGCAUAAACCCGUAGAUCCGAUCUUGUGGUGAAGUGGACCGCACAAGCUCGCUUCUAUGGGUCUGUGUCAGUGUGGUAAUCUGAC